UUGUUAAUCUAGUGACUUUAAGAUCGCCUAAAAGCAGACUAUGACAAAAAAGAGUGAAAACUAUGAACAACUUUGUUGUUUGUUUUAAAGAUUUUAAAAAUGGCUUGUCGUAUGCUACAUAUUUAGAGUUGUAAAUAAUUUGAUAAAAAAUGUUCAAUCUAUAAACAAUGACCUGAAGAUGAAUUAUGAAAGGGUGUGACAAGUAUCAGUAAUGCAGGAAGACGCAGAGAUAGAGCAAGAAGAGUAGUGAAAAGAGAAAGCUCCU
Camponotus floridanus (Florida carpenter ant) is the source of this 265-nucleotide long non-coding RNA. RefSeq lists it as uncharacterized. The record is from RefSeq and is a predicted model, not a curated record. NCBI's taxonomy places the organism in Eukaryota, Metazoa, Arthropoda, Insecta, Hymenoptera, Formicidae. The transcript is spliced from 2 exons.